AGCGUAGGCGGUUUGGUAAGUCAGAUGUGAAAUCCCGGGGCUCAACCCCGGAACUGCAUCCGAUACUGCCGGACUUGAGUAAUGGAGGGGUAGCUGGAAUUCUCGGUGUAGCAGCGAAAUGCGUGGAUAUCGAGAGGAACACUCGUGGCGAAGGCGAGCUACUGGACAUUUACUGACGCUGAGGCUCGAAGGCCAGGGUAGCGAAAG
RNAcentral lists this ribosomal RNA (207 nucleotides) under uncultured bacterium. RNAcentral's name for it is "partial 16S ribosomal RNA". It matches the Rfam family "Bacterial small subunit ribosomal RNA", at positions 568 to 774 of the family's 1533-position model. The record is from RNAcentral.